This 253-nucleotide ribosomal RNA is filed under the name uncultured bacterium. RNAcentral describes it as "partial 16S ribosomal RNA". It matches the Rfam family "Bacterial small subunit ribosomal RNA", at positions 524 to 776 of the family's 1533-position model. The record is from RNAcentral.
UACGGAAGGGGCGAGCGUUGUUCGGAAUCAUUGGGCGUAAAGGGCGCGUAGGUGGUGCUGUAUGUCUCCCGUGAAAGCCCACGGCUCAACCGUGGCGUGUCGGGAGAAACUGCAGGACUUGAGGCUGGGAGGGGCUGGUGGAAUUCCCUGUGUAGCGGUGAAAUGCGUAGAGAUGGGGGAGAACACUCGUGGCGAAGGCGGCCAGCUAGACCAGUUCUGACACUGAGGCGCGACAGCGUGGGGAGCAAACAGG